AUGGCCGUACCAUGCUGAAUAUACUGGUUCUCGUUAGAUCACCGAAGUCAAACAUCAUUGGGCGCGGUCAGUACUUGGGUGGGUGACCACUUGGGAACACCGCGUGCCGUU
Molecule: ribosomal RNA, 111 nt
Filed under: Caerostris darwini
Lineage: Eukaryota; Metazoa; Arthropoda; Arachnida; Araneae; Araneidae
Source: RNAcentral